UUUGAUCAUGGCUCCGGACGAACGCUGGCGGCGUGCCUAACACAAACAAAUCGAACGGAACUGUUUUGAAAGAUUUUUUUGGAAUGAAUUUUAUUUAGUUUAAUGGCGGACGGGCGAGUUACGCGCGAGUAACCUGCCUUCAAGAGGGGGAUUACCCUUUGAAAAGGAAGCUAAUACCGCAAGGCAUAUUGGAACCACAUGGUUCUCAAAUCAAAAAAUUUAUCGCUUGAAGAUGGGCUUGCGUCCGAUUAGGUAGUUGGUGAGGUAACGGCUCACCCAGCCCGCGAUCCGUAGCCGGGGUGAGAGGUUGAACGGCCCCCAUGGGACUGAGACCCGGCCCCGACUCCUACGGGAGGCAGCAGUGGGGGAUAUUUCGCAAUGGGGGCAACCCUGACGCAGCAACGCCGCGUGAAGGAUGAAGGUUUUCGGAUUGUAAACUUCUUUUAUUUAGGAAGAAACUUGACGGUACCUCAUGAAUAAGCUCCGGCUAACUUCGUG
This 498-nucleotide ribosomal RNA is filed under the name uncultured bacterium. RNAcentral's name for it is "bacterial SSU rRNA". It matches the Rfam family "Bacterial small subunit ribosomal RNA", at positions 12 to 507 of the family's 1533-position model. The record is from RNAcentral.